Molecule: non-coding RNA, 44 nt
Filed under: Schistosoma margrebowiei
Lineage: Eukaryota; Metazoa; Platyhelminthes; Trematoda; Strigeidida; Schistosomatidae
Source: RNAcentral
ACCAGCUAAAGUGUCCCAAAUAGGACGAAACGCGCAUCGUGGAU